Molecule: ribosomal RNA, 555 nt
Filed under: uncultured Actinomycetes bacterium
Lineage: Bacteria; Bacillati; Actinomycetota; Actinomycetes
Description: bacterial SSU rRNA
Rfam family: Bacterial small subunit ribosomal RNA
Source: RNAcentral
GGCGAACGGCUGAGUAACAUGUAAGUAAUCUACCUCCGAAUGGGGAAUACCCAGUCGAAAGACUGGUUAAUACCGCAUAACGUAACCGGAUGAUUUUCGGUUACUAAAGCCGUAAGGCGUUUGGAGAUGAGCUUGCAUCCUAUCAGGUAGUUGGUGGGGUAAUGGCCUACCAAGCCGAUGACGGGUAGCUGGUCUGAGAGGACGACCAGCCAGACGGGGACUGAGACACGGCCCUGAUUCCUACGGGAGGCAGCAGCAGGGAAUUUUGCGCAAUGGGCGAAAGCCUGACGCAGCGACGCCGCGUGAGGGAAGAAGGCCUUCGGGUCGUAAACCUCUUUUUCUAGGGAAGAACUCUGACGGUACCUAGGGAAUAAGUCACGGCUAACUACGUGCCAGCAGCCGCGGUAAUACGUAGGUGGCUAACGUUAUCCGGAUUUACUGGGCGUAAAGAGGGCGCGGGCGGUUUUGCAAGUCGGAUGUGAAAUCUCUUCACUUAAUGAAGAGUCUUCGUUUGAUACUACAAGACUUGAGGGCAGCAGAGGGAAGUGGAACUCC